UGACUGCCUGUCCAAUACUCCUCAUUUGAC
This 30-nucleotide non-coding RNA is filed under the name Rattus norvegicus (Norway rat). The record is from RNAcentral. Lineage: Eukaryota; Metazoa; Chordata; Mammalia; Rodentia; Muridae.